RNAcentral lists this ribosomal RNA (253 nucleotides) under uncultured bacterium. RNAcentral's name for it is "partial 16S ribosomal RNA". It matches the Rfam family "Bacterial small subunit ribosomal RNA", at positions 524 to 776 of the family's 1533-position model. The record is from RNAcentral.
UACGUAGGUGUCAAGCGUUGUCCGGAUUUACUGGGCGUAAAGAGCGCGCAGGCGGUCGAUCAAGUCGAGUGUGAAAGCCCCCGGCUCAACUGGGGAGGGUCAUUCGAUACUGAUCGACUCGAAGGCAGGAGAGGGUAGUGGAAUUCCCGGUGUAGUGGUGAAAUGCGUAGAUAUCGGGAGGAACACCAGUGGCGAAGGCGACUACCUGGCCUGUUCUUGACGCUGAGGCGCGAAAGCUAGGGGAGCAAACGGG